Molecule: ribosomal RNA, 765 nt
Filed under: Pseudomonas putida
Lineage: Bacteria; Pseudomonadati; Pseudomonadota; Gammaproteobacteria; Pseudomonadales; Pseudomonadaceae
Description: bacterial SSU rRNA
Rfam family: Bacterial small subunit ribosomal RNA
Source: RNAcentral
UUAUUCGUAGAGUUUUGAUCAGGCUCAGAUUGAACGCUGGCGGCAGGCCUAACACAUGCAAGUCGAGCGGAUGACGGGAGCUUGCUCCUUGAUUCAGCGGCGGACGGGUGAGUAAUGCCUAGGAAUCUGCCUGGUAGUGGGGGACAACGUUUCGAAAGGAACGCUAAUACCGCAUACGUCCUACGGGAGAAAGCAGGGGACCUUCGGGCCUUGCGCUAUCAGAUGAGCCUAGGUCGGAUUAGCUAGUUGGUGGGGUAAUGGCUCACCAAGGCGACGAUCCGUAACUGGUCUGAGAGGAUGAUCAGUCACACUGGAACUGAGACACGGUCCAGACUCCUACGGGAGGCAGCAGUGGGGAAUAUUGGACAAUGGGCGAAAGCCUGAUCCAGCCAUGCCGCGUGUGUGAAGAAGGUCUUCGGAUUGUAAAGCACUUUAAGUUGGGAGGAAGGGCAGUAAGUUAAUACCUUGCUGUUUUGACGUUACCGACAGAAUAAGCACCGGCUAACUCUGUGCCAGCAGCCGCGGUAAUACAGAGGGUGCUAGCGUUAAUCGGAAUUACUGGGCGUAAAGCGCGCGUAGGUGGUUUGUUAAGUUGGAUGUGAAAGCCCCGGGCUCAACCUGGGAACUGCAUCCAAAACUGGCAAGCUAGAGUACGGUAGAGGGUGGUGGAAUUUCCUGUGUAGCGGUGAAAUGCGUAGAUAUAGGAAGGAACACCAGUGGCGAAGGCGACCACCUGGUCGAUACGACACUAGGUCAAGAGUGCCC